CUGGAUAAGUCUUUACGGAGAAAGCUUUAUGCACCAUUGGAUGAGCCUGCACUUGAUUAGUUUGUUGGUGGGGUAAUGGCCUACCAAGACUUUGAUCAAUAGCUGAUUUGAGAGGAUGAUCAGCCACAUUGGGACUGAGACACGGCCCAAACUCCUACGGGAGGCAGCAGUGGGGAAUCUUGCACAAUGGAGGAAACUCUGAUGCAGCGAUGCCGCGUGAGUGAAGAAGGCCCUUGGGUUGUAAAGCUCUUUCGUCGGGG
This 260-nucleotide ribosomal RNA is filed under the name uncultured bacterium. Its description in RNAcentral is "partial 16S ribosomal RNA". It matches the Rfam family "Bacterial small subunit ribosomal RNA", at positions 169 to 444 of the family's 1533-position model. The record is from RNAcentral.